AAUUGUCUCUGCUGCUGGGGAAAAGGUUCGUGAAGCUGCACCCCGAGUAAAGCAGCUGCUCACCUGCCAAGCAAGCUAUCAGCACAGCAUUUGCAUUGGAACUGAGAGAAAAAUCCCCAAGGAGCGUGUCUGGGCAGGUGAUUCCAUUGUCCUUAUUACUCAAGCAGCUAUUUCCACAGCCAUAGGCUUGCGACAGCACCUGGCAGCAGCUUCAUGGAGCGAUCCGAGAGUUACAAAACGCCUUCACAACAGCGGACAGAACCGCUCCAUUCAGCCCUCCUCAGCUGAGCUCCCUUUGGCUCCCACCCCCAAGCCACCCCCCUGGAACAGCCCUCCCCAUAUCACAAGGCCGCUCAGAUCACGCCAACAGAACCCAAACCCAAGGAAAUCACAAUAGGAUUCGAAAGCACUCAGGAAAGAGGCCAACCAGUGUUUUUUUCAUGGACAUUAAUAACAGCAGAACCAGGCCAUAAACCCAAUGCCAUAAUCCCCCAACCUUUACUCAGGUGUAGACGUAUGGACUGUGGCUUCACAUAUGUUUGCACAGCGCAUAACAGGCUGAAGGCAGCAUGGAGUAAUAAUUAUUUUAUUCCAGUCUAACACAGAGGACGUGGGCAACAUCCACCAGCACAGGACCCUGAGCACACAGAUAUAGUUGCCACUGCACUAACCAACCAGGGAAGCCAGCAUUUUCUCUCCCUGACAGAGCCGUAAUAAGGCAGGGGACCUGGGGAAGACAAAAAAGAAUGGGGCAGACAUGAACAGCAUCUCAGCACAAGAAAAGCAAAAGGAAAUGCAUCUUUUCCUCUCCCACUGCACGUAACAUUCCCUCAUGCUGAGGAUUUGGUACACAUGGGCAAGUAGAGCCAAAGAAAUUUGCUUAACAUUGUGGUGCAGAAAUGACAUGGUGCCACAGCUGUGCAUCUCUGUGCAGAGCCGAGCUGCCAGUGCAGAGCCACGUUCUGUACUGGAGUGCACAAGUCUGUAUUUCUAACCCCAGCUUCAUCAUGCUCCUCAAUCCUGUGUCUUUACUAGAAGUUUAAGAGCCCCUCAACUGAGAAAGCAGAAGUCCUAUUUGCAAAUGAACAUUUUAGCACUUAGGAAAUUGUCUAAUUAUAAGAACACAGAGCUUGAUGAAUAAAUGCCCCACGAGGGAAGUAAAGAGGACAAUGACAGGCUCUCCUCAGUGGUAUCCCAAGGGGCAAAGGGUAUUUUACAAUAAAGAAAACUCCAUUUAACCACAAAAAAAAACCAAAGUUGUUUUACUGUGAAGAUGGUCAAACACUGGAACAGGUUGCUCAGAGAGGUUGUGGAAUCUUCAUCCUUGGAGAUAUUCAGCAUGGGCAAGAUUGAACUGCUUUUGUCACCUCUCCUUUGAGCUGCAUGGGAAGGGGGAGGUGAACUAGAAGACCUUCAGAGGUCCCCACCAACCUCAGUAAAGUGGGGAUUGUGGCAAGCAUUCCCUGCAUUCUUUGUCCCCAGGAUACUGCCAUAAAACUGAAAAUGCAGCACUGCAUGGUAUGUCCCACUGCACCAGUAUGACUUGCCCAGGUCAGACAUCUCCAUGAAAGCGUGUGAGUGCAAAGUCAGACUAUAAGGGAUCAGAGGAUCUGCAUGAACUAAAUGCCUUCCUCAUCAAAAGAAAUGCAGAAAUCCAGGGAAACUAAACAAAAAGUUAACAAUGUGAAUGUUAGUUUGAAUAUUUAUAUAGACUUGACCCUUCCGUGCUCACACCUCUCACAUUAGCUUGCCAUGAGCUUUGGAAAGGUCAGAUUUUACUGGCAGAAGUGCCCAUGGAAAGCAAAAUUUACAUUUAUGUUUACUUCGGAGAUGUUUACACACUCAGCCAGUCAAGGAGACAAUAACAAUAUUAUGUGUAUUCUCUAGUAAAUUUCAGCUAACUGAUAUGAUCUGGGUACUGAUUUCUUUUUAUGUUAUGUUCAGUCAGUGC
Molecule: long non-coding RNA, 1951 nt
Organism: Gallus gallus (chicken)
Lineage: Eukaryota; Metazoa; Chordata; Aves; Galliformes; Phasianidae
Source: Ensembl